Molecule: ribosomal RNA, 460 nt
Filed under: uncultured bacterium
Lineage: Bacteria
Description: partial 16S ribosomal RNA
Rfam family: Bacterial small subunit ribosomal RNA
Source: RNAcentral
CCUACGGGGCGCAGCAGUGAGGAAUAUUGGUCAAUGGGCGGAAGCCUGAACCAGCCAAGUAGCGUGCAGGAUGACGGCCCUACGGGUUGUAAACUGCUUUUAUACGGGAAUAACGCGCCUUACGUGUAGGGCUUUGCAUGUACCGUAUGAAUAAGGACCGGCUAAUUCCGUGCCAGCAGCCGCGGUAAUACGGAAGGUCCGGGCGUUAGCCGGAUUUAUUGGGUUUAAAGGGAGCGCAGGCCGCAUGUCAAGCGUACUGUGAAAUGUCCGGGUUCAACCCGGGCCUUGCAGCGCGAACUGGGGUGCUUGAGUCCGCGGAAAGCAGGCGGAAUUCGUCGUGUAGCGGUGAAAUGCUUAGAUAUGACGAAGAACCCCGAUUGCGAAGGCAGCUUGCUGCAGCGGAACUGACGCUGAUGCUCGAAAGCGCGGGUAUCGAACAGGAUUAGAUACCCGAGUAGUC